Non-coding RNA from Pelobates cultripes (western spadefoot toad), 581 nucleotides. The record is from the annotation of a GenBank genome assembly. Lineage: Eukaryota; Metazoa; Chordata; Amphibia; Anura; Pelobatidae.
CAUUAGUCCACGGGCUCUGGACCAUUCAGGACCCACGUCCUUUCCCUGUCAGGGAUUAGUGGGGCAUUUGGUUGGUGUAGGCUGCCAGAGGUGUGUAAUCCUUCCUCCUCUUGGUCGAUGCCGUGAUGCAAUGCCUCGGGUGUCUCUCAGCCUAGAAAGGUGAGUUUCAGUGCAGGGUCUCCACUGGGGGGUUCAAUUUUUCUCAGCGGGUCGUUAUCUGCUCGGACCUCCUUAUGCUGUAGGAAUACAGCUCUGGAUCUUGCCUGAAUCUACUCCAAAAAGGUCUGAAAUAUUUCAUCUAGGCGACUUAAGAUGUGUGCUGUAGAGCUGUGAGGAGGCUCACGAAGGGGGUUUAGGCCCUGUCUGGGCACCAUCUUAGGUGCAGAUCCCUGCGGUGUGUUGCAAGGGGGUAUCACCAGGUUGCAAGGGGUUGCAAGGGAUGCCCACCACGAUCAGCCAGUGAGGACAGGGAUAUCGAGGUAACAGGGCUCAGGCUUAGUACGCUCCAAAUCGAGCCAGUGGAUCGGCCCCCUCCCGGCCCGCAUUUGUAGCUGUAGGCCUCAGAGGAGUCUCACACGGAC